RNAcentral lists this ribosomal RNA (254 nucleotides) under uncultured bacterium. Its description in RNAcentral is "partial 16S ribosomal RNA". It matches the Rfam family "Bacterial small subunit ribosomal RNA", at positions 524 to 776 of the family's 1533-position model. The record is from RNAcentral.
UACGUAGGGCGCAAGCGUUAUCCGGAAUUAUUGGGCGUAAAGAGCUCGUAGGCGGUUUGUCGCGUCUGCCGUGAAAGUCCGGGGGCUCAACUCCGGAUCUGCGGUGGGUACGGGCAGACUAGAGUGAUGUAGGGGAGACUGGAAUUCCUGGUGUAGCGGUGAAAUGCGCAGAUAUCGGGAGGAACACCGGUGGCGAAGGCGGUUCUCUGGGCCUUACCUGACGCUGAGGAGCGAAAGCGUGGGGAGCGAACAGG